Molecule: transfer RNA, 86 nt
Organism: Prochlorococcus marinus str. NATL2A
Lineage: Bacteria; Bacillati; Cyanobacteriota; Cyanophyceae; Synechococcales; Prochlorococcaceae
Rfam family: tRNA
About the family: Transfer RNA (tRNA) molecules are approximately 80 nucleotides in length. Their secondary structure includes four short double-helical elements and three loops (D, anti-codon, and T loops).
Source: Rfam
GCCAGCGUGGUGGAAUUGGUAGACACACAGGACUUAAAAUCCUGAGAUCCGCAAGGGUCGUACGAGUUCAAGUCUCGUCGCUGGUA